UACGUAGGGUGCAAGCGUUGUCCGGAAUUAUUGGGCGCAAAGAGCUCGUAGGCGGUCUGUCGCGUCUGCUGUGAAAACUCGGGGCUUAACCCCGGGCCUGCAGUGGGUACGGGCAGACUAGAGUGCGGUAGGGGAGACUGGAAUUCCUGGUGUAGCGGUGAAAUGCGCAGAUAUCAGGAGGAACACCGGUGGCGAAGGCGGGUCUCUGGGCCGUAACUGACGCUGAGGAGCGAAAGCAUGGGGAGCGAACAGG
Molecule: ribosomal RNA, 253 nt
Filed under: uncultured bacterium
Lineage: Bacteria
Description: partial 16S ribosomal RNA
Rfam family: Bacterial small subunit ribosomal RNA
Source: RNAcentral